GCAUAUCAAUAAGCGGAGGAAAAGAAACUAACAAGGAUUCCCCUAGUAACUGCGAGUGAAGCGGGAUGAGCUCAAAUUUAAAAUCUGGCGGUCUCUGGCCGUCCGAGUUGUAUUCUGGAGAAGUGCUUUCCGCGCUGGACCGUGUAUAAGUCUCUUGGAACAGAGCGUCAUAGAGGGUGAGAAUCCCGUCUUUGACACGGACUACCAGUGCUUUGUGAUGCGCUCUCAAAGAGUCGAGUUGUUUGGGAAUGCAGCUCAAAAUGGGUGGUAAAUUCCAUCUAAAGCUAAAUAUUGGCGAGAGACCGAUAGCGAACAARUACCGUGAGGGAAAGAUGAAAAGCACUUUGGAAAGAGAGUUAAACAGUACGUGAAAUUGUUGAAAGGGAAACGCUUGAAGUCAGUCGCGUUGGCCGGGACUCAGCCUUGCCUUUCGCUUGGUGUAUUUUCCGGUCGACGGGCCAACAUCGAUUUCGAUUGCUGGACAAGGGCUAGCGGAAUGUGGCACCUUCGGGUGUGUUAUAGCCGCUGGUCGUAUACAGUAGUUGGGAUCGAGGAYCGCAGCUUCGGCUUAGGAUGUUGGCAUAAUGGCUUUAAACGACCCGUCUUGAAACACGGACC
Molecule: ribosomal RNA, 618 nt
Filed under: Gloeophyllum striatum
Lineage: Eukaryota; Fungi; Basidiomycota; Agaricomycetes; Gloeophyllales; Gloeophyllaceae
Description: eukaryotic LSU rRNA
Rfam family: Eukaryotic large subunit ribosomal RNA
Source: RNAcentral